Molecule: ribosomal RNA, 803 nt
Filed under: uncultured Pelagibacteraceae bacterium
Lineage: Bacteria; Pseudomonadati; Pseudomonadota; Alphaproteobacteria; Candidatus Pelagibacterales; Candidatus Pelagibacteraceae
Description: bacterial SSU rRNA
Rfam family: Bacterial small subunit ribosomal RNA
Source: RNAcentral
ACGCUGGCGGCACGCCUAACACAUGCAAGUCGAACGAAGUAGCAAUACUUAGUGGCAGACGGGUGAGUAACAUGUGGGUAUCUUCCCUUUGGCCUGGAAUAACACGAGGAAACUUGUGCUAAUACCGGAUAAGUCUUUACGGAGAAAGCUUUAUGCACCAUUGGAUGAGCCUGCACUUGAUUAGUUUGUUGGUGGGGUAAUGGCCUACCAAGACUUUGAUCAAUAGCUGAUUUGAGAGGAUGAUCAGCCACAUUGGGACUGAGACACGGCCCAAACUCCUACGGGAGGCAGCAGUGGGGAAUCUUGCACAAUGGAGGAAACUCUGAUGCAGCGAUGCCGCGUGAGUGAAGAAGGCCUUUGGGUUGUAAAGCUCUUUCGUCGGGGAAGAAAAUGACUGUACCCGAAUAAGAAGGUCCGGCUAACUUCGUGCCAGCAGCCGCGGUAAUACGAAGGGACCUAGCGUAGUUCGGAAUUACUGGGCUUAAAGAGUUCGUAGGUGGUUGAAAAAGUUGGUGGUGAAAUCCCAGAGCUUAACUCUGGAACUGCCAUCAAAACUUUUCAGCUAGAGUUUGAUAGAGGAAAGCAGAAUUUCUAGUGUAGAGGUGAAAUUCGUAGAUAUUAGAAAGAAUACCAAUUGCGAAGGCAGCUUUCUGGAUCAAUACUGACACUGAGGAACGAAAGCAUGGGUAGCGAAGAGGAUUAGAUACCCUCGUAGUCCAUGCCGUAAACGAUGUGUGUUAGACGUUGGAAAUUUAUUUUCAGUGUCGCAGCGAAAGCGAUAAACACACCGCCUGGGGAGUACG